UGAGGGAUAUUGGGCAAUGGGGGAAACCCUGACCCAGCGACGCCGCGUGAGGGAAGACGGUCUUCGGAUUGUAAACCUCUGUCUUUGGGGACGAAAAAGGACGGUACCCAAGGAGGAAGCUCCGGCUAACUACGUGCCAGCAGCCGCGGUAAUACGUAGGGAGCGAGCGUUGUCCGGAAUUACUGGGUGUAAAGGGAGCGUAGGCGGGAUUGCAAGUUGGAUGUGAAAACUGCGGGCUCAACCCGGAGAGUGCAUUCAAAACUGCGAUUCUUGAGUGAAGUAGAGGCAAGCGGAAUUCCUAGUGUAGCGGUGAAAUGCGUAGAUAUUAGGAGGAACACCAGUGGCGAAGGCGGCUUGCUGGGCUUUUACUGACGCUGAGGCUCGAAAGUGUGGGGAGCAAACAGG
RNAcentral lists this ribosomal RNA (405 nucleotides) under uncultured bacterium. Its description in RNAcentral is "bacterial SSU rRNA". It matches the Rfam family "Bacterial small subunit ribosomal RNA", at positions 355 to 776 of the family's 1533-position model. RNAcentral also lists the same sequence under 1 other name. The record is from RNAcentral.